This 483-nucleotide ribosomal RNA is filed under the name uncultured bacterium. RNAcentral describes it as "partial 16S ribosomal RNA". It matches the Rfam family "Bacterial small subunit ribosomal RNA", at positions 30 to 506 of the family's 1533-position model. The record is from RNAcentral.
AUUGAACGCUGGCGGCAGGCCUAACACAUGCAAGUCGAGCGGAUGAAGGGAGCUUGCUCCUGGAUUCAGCGGCGGACGGGUGAGUAAUGCCUAGGAAUCUGCCUGGUAGUGGGGGAUAACGUCCGGAAACGGGCGCUAAUACCGCAUACGUCCUGAGGGAGAAAGUGGGGGAUCUUCGGACCUCACGCUAUCAGAUGAGCCUAGGUCGGAUUAGCUAGUUGGUGGGGUAAAGGCCUACCAAGGCGACGAUCCGUAACUGGUCUGAGAGGAUGAUCAGUCACACUGGAACUGAGACACGGUCCAGACUCCGACGGGAGGCAGCAGGGGGGAAUAUUGGACAAUGGGCGAAAGCCUGAUCCAGCCAUGCCGCGGGGGUGAAGAAGGGCUUCGGAUUGUAAAGCACUUUAAGUUGGGAGGAAGGGCAGUAAGUUAAUACCUGGCUGUUUGGACGUUACCAACAGAAUAAGCACCGGCUAACUGCGU